UGGGGAAUAUUGGACAAUGGGCGCAAGCCUGAUCCAGCCAUGCCGCGUGAGUGAUGAAGGCCUUAGGGUUGUAAAGCUCUUUCGGCGGGGAAGAUAAUGACGGUACCCGCAGAAGAAGCCCCGGCUAACUUCGUGCCAGCAGCCGCGGUAAUACGAAGGGGGCUAGCGUUGCUCGGAAUCACUGGGCGUAAAGCGCACGUAGGCGGCUUACUAAGUCAGGGGUGGAAUCCUGGAGUUCAACUCCAGAAAUGCCUUUGAUACUGUUGAGCUUGAGUUCGGGAGAGGUGAGGGGAACUGCGAGUGUAGAGUUGAAAUUCGUAGAUAUUCGCAAGAACACCAGUGGCGAAGGCGGCUCACUGGCCCGAUACUGACGCUGGGGUGCGAAAGCGUGGGGAGCAAAUA
This 402-nucleotide ribosomal RNA is filed under the name uncultured bacterium. RNAcentral describes it as "bacterial SSU rRNA". It matches the Rfam family "Bacterial small subunit ribosomal RNA", at positions 355 to 774 of the family's 1533-position model. The record is from RNAcentral.